This 288-nucleotide long non-coding RNA is filed under the name Phoenix dactylifera (date palm). Its description in RNAcentral is "long non-coding RNA (PDAC_LNC019749)". Lineage: Eukaryota; Viridiplantae; Streptophyta; Magnoliopsida; Arecales; Arecaceae. The record is from RNAcentral.
CAUUUUGUUGUGAUCCAUCUUCAUCCAAGUUCAUCCCAACAUCCACGUUUGAUCCCAGCUACAUCCAUUCGCAACAGCCAUAUCCACUGAUCCCAAGAUUCAACCGCAUCCUCCCCUAUUUCGAAACAUCAACAAUAGCAAUGUUCCUCUCAGCCGUGAACACCAACUUCAUCAACUUUAUUCCUAGAUCUUGCUGUUGUGAUCUUUAUCCACAAACCCAGCAUCAUCAUCCUCUCAGUCGUGCACAUCCAUUCCGGGUUCAACUCCAUCCAUGGAUGAGUUCUCUCC